Molecule: ribosomal RNA, 463 nt
Filed under: uncultured bacterium
Lineage: Bacteria
Description: partial 16S ribosomal RNA
Rfam family: Bacterial small subunit ribosomal RNA
Source: RNAcentral
GACGAACGCUGGCGGCGUGCUUAACACAUGCAAGUCGAACGGUGAACCUCUUCGGAGGGGUUCAGUGGCGAACGGGUGAGUAACACGUGGGCAACCUGCCCCCGGCUCUGGGAUAACUCCAAGAAAUUGGGGCUAAUACCGGAUGUUCACCGCUUCCCGCAUGGGUGGUGGUGGAAAGGGUUUCCGGCGGGGGAUGGGCCCGCGGCCUAUCAGCUUGUUGGUGGGGUAGUGGCCUACCAAGGCGACGACGGGUAGCCGGCCUGAGAGGGUGACCGGCCACACUGGGACUGAGACUGAGCCCAGACUCCGACGGGAGCGGGAGGUGGGAGUGGGGAAGAAUGGGCCGGAGGCGAGACGCUGCGACGCCGCGGGGGGGAGAAGGACGUAGGGUUUGGAAACGUCUACCUCCAGGAACAAGGAAGAUGGGAAGGGAACUGGACAAAGAAGCCCGGCCAAACUCGGG